GAAAAUAAGAGAGAAAUGGAAACUUACCUUAAUAUUGUUUGGGGAGACUUUAUGAGAGGAUUUGUGAUAAAGGGGCUAAGAAAGGAGAGAAGAGCCAUUGCUCUUGUGUGUGUGUGUGUGGCUGCCGUGACCUAGAGAGAGAGAGAGAGAGUGGCGUGUAGAGAGAGAGAGAGAGAGAGAGAGGAAGAAAGAAAGAAAGGAAGAAGGAAGAAGAAAGUGAAGAGGAACCCCCUAGAGUAUGUCUUCUUGUUUUCUCUUUUACAUAAUCUUUUUAUUUGAUAAUAUGAUUUUGAUUGUGUUAUUUUCUUGUGUGUGUUUGGGUCUUUCCUUCUCUUCAUGGUGGCUUUCCCAUAAAAACCCUAGGCUUGAACAAGGGUGUGGAGUUUGUGGUAUUGAUCUUUUGUGUUCUUGAUUCUACAAUCAAGAGAGGCUCGUUGAAAAGAUUGUGAAAUUCUUAGCUUGGACCUGAGGUAGCAAAUAGGAUUUCUCUAUGGCACGCGUGGUGACGUGAGGAGUUCUUCAUCAUGGGGUGUAUGGCGUGGGGCAAUCCUAUGGACGAUAAAACGAUCAACGUAGAACGCCAUUUAAAUUAUGUUUUGUUUUAAGGGACUUUUUCCUAAAUUAUCAGUGGGACUCUGUUAUUUAACUUAA
Molecule: long non-coding RNA, 651 nt
Organism: Humulus lupulus (European hop)
Lineage: Eukaryota; Viridiplantae; Streptophyta; Magnoliopsida; Rosales; Cannabaceae
Exons: 3
Source: RefSeq, a predicted model, not a curated record